RNAcentral lists this ribosomal RNA (484 nucleotides) under uncultured bacterium. RNAcentral's name for it is "partial 16S ribosomal RNA". It matches the Rfam family "Bacterial small subunit ribosomal RNA", at positions 30 to 507 of the family's 1533-position model. The record is from RNAcentral.
AUUGAACGCUGGCGGCAUGCCUAACACAUGCAAGUCGAGCGGAAGAAUGGAGCUUGCUGCCGGAUGCAGCGGUGGACGGGGGAGUAAUGCCUAUGAAUCUGCCUGGUAGCGGGGGAUGACGUCCUGAAACGGGCGCUUAUACCGCGUACGUCCUGUGGGCGAAAGUGGGUGAGCUUCGGACGUCAUGCUAUCUGAUGAGCGUAGAUCGGUUUAGCUAGGUGGUGGGGUAAAGGCCUACCAAGGCUACGAUGCGUAACUGGUCUGAAAGCAUGGUCAGGUACCCUGGAACUGAGACACGUUCCCGACUCUUACGCUAGGACGCAGUGGGGAAUACUGGACGAAGGGCGAGUGCCUGAUCCAGCCAUGCCGCGUGUGUGAAGAAGGUCUUCGGCUUGUAAAGCACUUUAAGUUGGGGGGAAGUGAAGUACGUUUAUACCUUGCUAUUUUGACGGUACCAAGAGAAUAAGCACCGGCUAACUUCGUG